CGAUUUUAAAAAAAACGACCACGACCCACUCGCGUCCCACGUCCCCUCUCGCAGUCUCCCUCACCUCUCGCUCCCGAUCCCUCCCCUCGAUCUCGUGAGAAAAUCGCCGCCGCCGCUGCCGCCCCCACACUAUCUGCCCCGAUGAACUGCCCAUCUCCAUUGCCGUCCGCCGCCCGUCUCGGUCGCCGUCGCGCAGCCCAUGCACGCCGCCCUUGUACGAUCUGCUCGCCUCCGCUAUCGCAACAGCCUAGGUCGAUCCCCUUAUUGAGCCCAUCUGAUGGCGGCGCCGACCCAUCUUUUGGGCUACAUGCGGCAAUGGCGAACGAGAAGAAAUCAACGUACGCCACCACCAUCGCCGGCUUGCAGGGACCGUUGACCGCUAUGAAGGCCUUUAGUUUGGCACAGAGACGUCCUGGAUCAAAAGGAGAGGCGGCGAGGGCCACAAUGGUCAACAUCACUUCAAUCAUCAGGGAGCAAGCUGAUGGCAUCAAAAAAUCACAUUAACUAUUGGUGGUGACUGUGACUGUGCGGUGCACGCAUCAGUGACACAUCCAAAUCCACUCCACUAAUAAGUUGUCCUCUCCAUUAUAAGAUUGGGUAAAUUUUGGCGGUGGUCACUGGUAUGCCGGGAAGCUUUCAGUUUGGAUCUUGUUGGCGAUUCUCCAUGUAGCCUUGUUGGUUCUGAAUCCAAAGUGCAUGGAAAUCCUAAAGAGUUUGACUCUUUGAGUCAGAGGAAACCAAGGUUAGCAUUAAUCCCCACAAUAACUUGGCCUGCAUGCAGUAAUAUUUUGGGAGUGGAGAAAGAGAGCAAGAAUUCCACAUACAUACGCUCGACAUCUUCAAAAAGGAGAUUUUCAAUGGUCAAUUGGAGGGCUUCUAAACGUUUUUACUUAUGGCUAAUUUUAUCAUGUCAGGAGCCUGCUCUGUUAAUCCACUCAAAACCUUUUGCAUAACAGAGCCAGAGAAUGAAGCCAGUUAUCUCUACCAUGUUGUUUGUCAUUGUGAUUUGAUUUUUAUUUCUUCUGUAGCAACACACUGUACUUAUACCUGUAGAAGAACAACAUUAGUGAUGAAAGCUCUUGGUUUCCCCAGGCACACUCGGAUAUGUAUUGCUCUAGGUGAAAUCUAUGAUGGUAAAAAAGAUUAACUGCAUCGAAUACAAAGUUCCCUAACAUAGCGUAUGUGCACAAGGAUGCCUUUAUCUGAUGGUGAACUACACCUCUUCCAAAAAAUUCACAACCCAAAUGGAAGCCCUGGACUAUCUUGUUUCUGUCAUAGGUGAUGUUUUUAUUCCCUGUUCUGAUGGAAACAUGGCUAAAGUUGUUCAAGGACACCACAUGCAUGUCUAUUUAUGACCUUCCUGAUAUGAAUAUCGUUUCUUCUUGCCACCAUGGAUAUGCAUUAGUAUGACAAGGUUAGCUGGGCCGAAUGUGAGAAGAAAAUAUAAAUAUUUGCGUACACACAGGGUUGUCGUGUAUAGCUCUCAUUUGAAUGCAGACGUUUGUUUUAAAGAAUCGUGACUAUCGUGAGCAAGAAUGAACCCAGCAAAAUUAUUUAUUUAUUUUUCUGUUUUCCUUACGAAACAAUCAAUGGACCGAGUUCCACUAUCAGCAAAAUAAUUACUGAAGGUUAACUGAGAAGUGUAUAUCUUGCAACUGUAUGUUAAUGGACUUCCACAUUGGUUCAUCAUUCCAAACAACAUCAACUGUUGGGACUCUGGCAUAUAUUUCUCAUCAAUAUGGUCGCAAGGUAUAAUCCAUUCUCUUUCUGCUUUAAACCAUCCCAUGCAUACUCUGCCAUAUGUUGCCUGAUUAUUUCAUUUUGCUAGGCCAUAAAAGCUUUACUUGCUUUCCGAAUCUUACAUCCACCUUUUGUUGGCAUGAUUUGUGCAUAGUCUUUAGGCGCAACCGUUUAAAUAUUUUAUGUUUUAUUUGCUGAAGCACUACUAAUUUGUCUUUGGAUGGCAAUAGAUGAUGUGUGGAUGUGGGCCCUUCCUUUAUGCGAUGUUGGUUGGUACAUACACUUUCGAUCCAUAAGAUCACAAGAAUUUUGAAAUGACGACUGACAAGUCAGGUGUUCAGUGUUCAAGGAUCUUAUUUGCCAACACGGGCUAUGAUCUCGACAUAGACAACGGCGGAGAGAUAAUAUAUGCUCUGUAUCUUGUAAAUAUAUGUGCAGAAGUAGCUGCAGCCUUCCACCUUAUGAACAAGUUCUGUCAAUGGUCAGGAGGUGCGAGCCCAUCAAAGAUUAUGUUCAAGGCUACAACUUGAAUCUGAAUCUCUAUUGCUAUGUAAAUAUGUGGUUCGUGCCAAGAAAUAUCAGUUAGUUGUACGAUUCUAUUUUUGGUGUUCCUUUCUGUUAAAAGUUAAAACCGUAAGUCAAAUAUGUUCUUACCAGAGUCAAUUGCAUGAACAUUGAACAAGUCAUAACUGAACGGUGUAUCGACCACCCAUCCUGUAUUACAAGAUGGAAACAUAUAUACAUCAUUUGUACAUGGCGAGCGUGGAGUGAAAACCAUCCAGAUACCAGUCUGCCAGCCAGUCCAGGUUCUGAGCGGGGCAAGCGGGUGUGCGAGCGGUAAGCAUCAGACUAUCCCCAUUAUAUUCUGAGCAAUCCAUAGGAAAGUAAUUAUCUUAUAUGCGAAUCUUUUUUCAAAUUAAAUUAAAUUGCAGUUGUCUUAAGUCCAGUAUAAAAACCCAUUAGGUUGUAACUACCAUUACUGAUCAGUACAAGAGUUUUAGUUUCUUGUCAGAUUUGCGUAGCUCUUGUGUCGGGAAGAAGAGGAUGGUUGUUUUGUUGGUAGUUAUAUUUUUUCUAACAUUGAAAAAUAAAAAAGAGUUAAUGAUCUCCGAGGAGGAGCACACCAGUGCCAUUAAUUAGGAAAUUAGCAAAGUUGCUAAGAUCAGAGAAUAGCUUGACAUUGCUGUGCUUCUUCAUGGACAACCUGAGGUCAACAUCCUUCUAUUAAUAAUGUUUAGUGUUAACAAAACUUUGUGCCAUGCUUGAGAAAAUCAAUGUUAUUUUCUUAUAAUUGACAAUGUUUGAUUCUACAUUUAGUUGGGUUGAUAUGUAUUUGAUAGAGGAACCAUAUGGUUGAGUAUUUCUGUGAGCAGCUCACUGGUUUUGCAUUCACUGCCAAUGGGUGGGUACAAACUUUUGGAUCAAGGUGUGCAAGACAUCAAUUAUCUAUGCAGACGUGAGCCACCUCCCACGGCAGUGUUCUGGUCCAAGAGCCAAGUGCGGUAUGAGCUUGAGGAGAGCUGCGAGGUGGGCAUGGUACACUGCUGAUGGCUGCCAGAGGAGGUUGUGCAGCAGUUGUGGUCGAGGCGGACAGCAUCAUCAUAUGCGCAUGGUUGGUGGAUUCUUCCUUGGACUGUGAGGGAUUGUUGAAUUUGUCAUGACUUAGAAGAAGUGGAUGACAAUGCUGCAAGCCAUUAGAAGUUAGGGACGAUGGGAAUGACUAUGACAAUUUGGCGAGUUACACAAAAGGCAUAUGGAUUUGGAGCAAGGUGAAAAUGUAAUAGCUGAAGCGGUGUGACUGAUGAUAUAUUCAUUUGUUUAUUUGUUUGUUCGUAGGUUAGGGAUGAUAGAAAUUAGGAUGUAAGUCAGGGAUGAUGCGAAUGACUACGACAAUUCUACGAACUUGAAGAAAACAUAGGAGGAUUUGUAGUGCGGUAACAAAUGACUCAAUGACUGAAGCGUUGAAGUUGAAUGGCCUUGCGAUAGAUCACCUGUUAGCCCGUGGCAACGCACGGGCAUUCAACUAGUGAUCUGUAGUGUCAUCUGCCUUUCUCUCUUCGGAGCGCCUCGCCGUUGUGCAUGUGA
This is a long non-coding RNA of Triticum aestivum (bread wheat), 3825 nucleotides long. RefSeq lists it as uncharacterized. The transcript is spliced from 4 exons. NCBI's taxonomy places the organism in Eukaryota, Viridiplantae, Streptophyta, Magnoliopsida, Poales, Poaceae. The record is from RefSeq and is a predicted model, not a curated record.